GACGAACGCUGGCGGCGUGCUUAACACAUGCAAGUCGAACGGAAAGGCCCUGCUUUUGUGGGGUGCUCGAGUGGCGAACGGGUGAGUAACACGUGAGUAACCUGCCCUUGUCUUUGGGAUAACUUCAGGAAACUGGGGCUAAUACCGGAUAGGAGCUCCUGCUGCAUGGUGGGGGUUGGAAAGUUUCGGCGGUUGGGGAUGGACUCGCGGCUUAUCAGCUUGUUGGUGGGGUAGUGGCUUACCAAGGCUUUGACGGGUAGCCGGCCUGAGAGGGUGACCGGCCACAUUGGGCCUGAGGUACGGCCCAGACUCCUACGGGAGGCAGCAGUGGGGAAUAUUGCACAAUGGGCGGGAGCCUGAUGCAGCAACGCCGCGUGCGGGAUGACGGCCUUCGGGUUAUAAACCGCUUUCGCCUGUGACGAAGCGUGAGUGACGGUAAUGGGUAAAGAAGCACCGGCUAACUACGUG
This 468-nucleotide ribosomal RNA is filed under the name uncultured bacterium. RNAcentral's name for it is "partial 16S ribosomal RNA". It matches the Rfam family "Bacterial small subunit ribosomal RNA", at positions 28 to 507 of the family's 1533-position model. The record is from RNAcentral.